RNAcentral lists this transfer RNA (38 nucleotides) under Tenellus trimaculatus. RNAcentral's name for it is "partial tRNA-Val". The record is from RNAcentral. Lineage: Eukaryota; Metazoa; Chordata; Actinopteri; Siluriformes; Doradidae.
ACACCGAGAAGAUAUCCAUGCAAAUUGGAUCGCCCUGA